Molecule: ribosomal RNA, 488 nt
Filed under: uncultured bacterium
Lineage: Bacteria
Description: bacterial SSU rRNA
Rfam family: Bacterial small subunit ribosomal RNA
Source: RNAcentral
GAUGAACGCUAGCGACAGGCCUAACACAUGCAAGGUCGAGGGGCAGCAUAAAGGUAGCAAUACUUGGUGGCGACCGGCGCACGGGUGAGUAACACGUAUGCAACCUACCUGUAAGAGGGGAAUAACCCGGAGAAAUUCGGACUAAUACCGCAUAAUACUGAUUAUCUGCAUGGAUUGAUCAGUUAAACAUUUAUGGCUUACAGAUGGGCAUGCGUAUGAUUAGAUAGUUGGUAGGGUAACGGCCUACCAAGUCAACGAUCAUUAGGGGUUCUGAGAGGAAGGUCCCCCACACUGGUACUGAGACACGGACCAGACUCCUACGGGAGGCAGCAGUGAGGAAUAUUGGUCAAUGGGCGAGAGCCUGAACCAGCCAAGUCGCGUGAAGGAAGAAGGUUCUAUGGAUUGUAAACUUCUUUUGUAAGGGAAUAAAAAGAGUUACGUGUAACUUAUUGUAUGUACUUUACGAAUAAGGAUCGGCUAACUCCGUG